Molecule: unclassified non-coding RNA, 1207 nt
Filed under: Leishmania donovani
Lineage: Eukaryota; Euglenozoa; Kinetoplastea; Trypanosomatida; Trypanosomatidae
Description: gene:unknown
Source: RNAcentral
ACACACAAACACGCUGGAUUCAUAGAACGCAUCGGCCUUCUCGCACCUUCACAUAGUGCCGCUCCCCCUCCUGCCCUCCUUCCCCUCUCCUCGGCUCUCUCCCGUGUAUACACUCCUCCAUAUCAAUACAUACCCUCACGCUUCGUCGUCGGUGUGCGGCAGGAGCACUCGGGCCGACACAGACGAACCAUCCCGUCACAGGCGAAUGCAGUGUCUCCUAACUCCCCGAAACGUGACGGUGCAGACGAAACAAACAGAGAAGGGUCUGAAAAUGUCUCCAUCAUCACUGCGCGUUGCACACUCAACACCGACGUAAGCGACGACGAUAAAAUUCACGCAAGAGCCCGCGCAGAACCUCCGCGGCAAGCACCACGCAAAAAAAUAACAAGGAUGCGGACACUCGCGGACGUUUUUUUUUUAUCGUCUUCAAUACUUCCAUGUUCGUACUUCCCUGUUGCCGUGUGGUCUCCUGGCGCAGAGUAGCGCCGCGGAGAAUGCAUGGCAAGAAAGGAAGCACCACACACACACACACGACUGCCGUCUCUUUCAGCUCCGUUCUUGCGUUCUUGUCCCUCUCCCAUUCCUUUUUCGCUGUUUCACGCGAAACGUGUCAUCCCUCCCCCUCCUCCUCGACUCGUCGUCACAACUGCGCCUCUGUUGCCGGUUUGCGUGUUCUCAUGGCAAAUAGAACUUUGGCUGUCGCUCCUCUGCCGCACCUCGCGUCCGCUGCGCCCCCCCCCCCCCACCCCACUCCCUUUUCCCUAUUCUCUCUCGAUAAGGUCGUGCGCCGCCACUUCAACCCCCCCCCCUCGUCGGGUAGCGUUGGCCUUCUCGUCCUUGCCAGCCAUCCCUCCUCUGUUGCCACAAUCAAGAAGCCGCAGAUACACGCAUCGCCUGCGCCACGCUGCCCGCCUGUCUGUCUCUCCCUCUCUCCCUGCGAACCUCCCAUUCAACUCGUGCCCCUAACUUCCUCCUUCGCUGCUGCUGCCGGCGCGCCACUCAGUGUCACUCUUGCUUCGUCCUGUCGAAGCUCUUUCCAGUUUCGCUGUCGCGCAUGGUUUCAUCUCUGCUGUUUCCUGCGUCCGUGCGUGCGUGCGUGUUGCCCUUUAGUGGGGAUUUGUGUCUCCCCUCUCGGCCCCCUCCCCAUGCCCAACACACACACACACACACACCGCCCUUCCUCCUGCUUCCUUGCCUCGUUCUUUAG